RNAcentral lists this long non-coding RNA (237 nucleotides) under Lathyrus oleraceus (garden pea). RNAcentral describes it as "Pisum sativum (pea) long non-coding RNA (PSAT_LNC035498)". Lineage: Eukaryota; Viridiplantae; Streptophyta; Magnoliopsida; Fabales; Fabaceae. The record is from RNAcentral.
AACUAGACCUUCUAAAUUGGGUAACCCUCACUCGAUUAUUCAUCCUAACAGUCGUUGAGUCUCAAUUGUUGUCCCAAAGUGGACCAAUAAACGCCAAUGUGUGUAAAAUCAUUAGAAAAAAUACAAUAAAAAGGUGCCUAGGAAAAAAAUUCUCGAUCGAUCUUGUGCAUGUGAGGGAAAAAUAAUUGUAAAUGCCUUAAUAUGAUCAUCUGGAUGAAAGAGGAAUAAAAUUAAAAA